Molecule: unclassified non-coding RNA, 3167 nt
Filed under: Leguminivora glycinivorella
Lineage: Eukaryota; Metazoa; Arthropoda; Insecta; Lepidoptera; Tortricidae
Description: glutathione S-transferase 1-like, transcript variant X1
Source: RNAcentral
GUGUAACUGGCCAAACAAGAUAAUAUACUAUUACUAUAGUAUGUGGUUUAUACUCGUACAACAACUCGGACUCAGUGCACGACGGUUGUCUGCAACAGCGUAUUAAAAUAAACAUACAUCCAAGAUGGUGGUCACUCUGUACAAGUUAGACGCCAGUCCACCAGUGCGAGCGGUGAAGAUGGUCAUCGCAGCCAUCAAUCUACCUGACGUGGAAUACGUUGACGUCAACCUGCUGGAACGCGAUCAAUUCAAUGAAAACUAUAUGAAGCUUAAUCCACAACACACGAUACCAACAUUGGUGGACGAUGACUUUGUUAUUUGGGAUAGCCAUGCCAUUUGUACGUAUCUCAUAAACAUGUACGCUGAAAACGACUCUCUGUAUCCAUCGGAACCGAAGAAACGAGGUCUGAUCGAUCAAAGACUGCACUUUGAUAGUGGCGUACUGUUCCCACCAGUACGAGAAGCAGUAGGCCCAGUGAUCUUCGGCAACGAAAAAUCUUUCAAGGCAGAAGUGCUACAAAAAAUCCAAACCGGCUACGAGUUCACGGACAAGUUCCUGACGGGGGAGUGGCUGGCGGGUGACGAGUUGACAGUGGCUGACGUCUGCUGCGUCGCCACUAUCAGCACUGCGAACGAGAUUCUGCCUAUUGAUGAAGAUUUAUUUCCAAAACUGGCCAAAUGGAUGAAGCGUUGUUCUGAACUGGAAAUAUAUAAAAAUGAAAACGAACCUGGGUUGAAAAUGUUCAGUCAAAUACUGAAGAGCAAAUUGGCUUAGACUCAUAUUGCUUAAGUCUAUGGGGGAUGGAGAUCGAUGCGAGAGACCUUUGCGUAACAGUAGGACAACGUAUAUUAAUAACUAGCUUUUGCCCGCGGCUUCGCUCGCGUUAGAAAGGGACAAAAAGUAGCCUAUGUCACUCUCCAUCCCUUCAACUAUCUCCACUUAAAAAAUCACGUCAAUUCGUCACUCCGUUUUGCCGUGAAAGACGGACAAACAAAUAGACACACACUUUUCUAUUUAUAAUAGUAUAGUAUGGAUAAAUAAAUAGUAUAAUAUUAUAGUUAUUUCAUAGUAUCAACAAAAACAGAGAGACAUGGCGACGGAAUACAAGAGCUGCCUUGCUGUAAAAUCGACUGUGAGAUUACUACAACCACUUUGACAAGAAUGCAACGACUGACAAGAAAAGAGAGGAGGUACAUAAUAGUACCUAUAGCUACAUGCAUAUGAAUAUAACAAAAGAAUAAUACAAAUUUCUCGGAACUUACAACGUACAUAUUUAUAUAUUUAGUGUCUACAAAAAAAAAAAAAAUAAAACAACCUCAGUUUUAAAUAUAGUUUCAUAAAAAACAAACAUGAUAUUUUUAAAAGUAAUACAAGCAGAUAAAUUAAAGCUAAUUUUAUCAAUGUUGUUUUAUUGAAUUGUCUACAAGGAAACUAUCCAAAAUGUAUUUCUCUGAAUCAUUACCAUUUUAAGGAGUUGAUUUUAAGUUUAAGUAUCUUAUUUUAAACUACCGCAAAGGCCUAAGUAACAUUAAAAUUAAUAGUACCUUCAUUUGUUUCUAUAUUUCUUGAUUCGCUUUUAAUGUAUGAAAUAUUAAAGGGGAGUACACAUAGAAGUUACAAAUUAAACAUCUAAAUUGACUCAUCAUUAAAAUUCAUUAUUUACACGUCGUUUACCCAACGCACGACAGCUGACUUUCCAAAUUAGUCUCCCCGCAUGCCGACUCGUACACUAACAAAUGCGAACAUCCUCAACUUGACACACGCUACUGACAAGACCCUUUAAGAUAAAGUGUUCCGCUUGAAUGAAUAAGAUAUGAGAGCCGGCGACGGAGUUAAUAUUAAUGAGGCUGUUACAGGCUGUUUACAAUUGUUCCAACGUUGCCGACGGGCUUACCGCGAACCACGUUCGACUUACUGUCGUGUUUCAGUUACAUAUGGUUUUUAUAUGAGCUUAGUGUCCCACUGCCACUUGCAAACAUGCCACUUGAAAUCGCCGCGCCGUCGAGGUUUGCUGCGGCACAUGUGACUACGUCUGCGAAAUAUCUGAAGAAGUUCUUACGCUUACAAUAUCAGAGUCGUGGUCAGACAUGAGAUUUUUAUGAGCUUAGAGUCCUACUGCAGGGCAAAGACCUCCCUGUUCAUGUAUUGGGUCUUGGCCUGUUUUCUAACAGUCCUUAAUAUCAAAGGCGUCACGGUCAUCUCGCCAACGCCAUCGAGUUUUGAUGCGACUCAUGUGGUUACAUCUGCACAAUCUGAAGACGUUUUUAUACUGACAGUAUUAUAGUCCUGUAUAGAUGUUUUUGUUCGCGUAAGUGUGCAGGUACAUGUAACUGAACGCGACUGUACCUCUCUGUAACAGCCUUUUUAUUAUAACUGUUGGCAGUACCUACCCAAUGGCUCUAGCUUUACAAGAUGCGUAUGAGUGCCCGUUGAACAUUGGAGUCUGAACAUGGAGUCCACUCCGAAUUCUGACAUCCCACGACAUCCUAAUAUGGAUUGAAUCUGUUUAUUUUAUUAUUACUACUGCAUUAUUAUAUUACCAUGUUUGAAAUGAAUAUUUUUUAUCGAGAUUACGUAGAUAUUGCUGAGAUGUGCCAAUAAAGAGUAGGUAUUCUAUCUAUCUAAAUAUAGGACAAUGUAAACUUUGUAACACACAUGGGUAUCGAAAAUCUACAAUUGUAAAGUUCUACGCGUCCCUGUCACACUUACGUACGAAUUUACAAGUGUCGUACAAAGUUACACAUGUCGAACGUGGUUCGUAGUAGGCCCUCUCAAACUUAAACCAUCAGGGACGGUGAAUUGGUUAACCGUUUUUAAAAACUUCUUGUUUGUAAAUUGUAAAACAAAAAAAGGUAUUUUUUUGUUUAAUCGUUUUGUAUAAUAUUAAUACUAGUUUUAUAUGUAACUAACUUUUGGCCGCGUUCUAAAUUAUCUUUCGCAUAAAAUAAUCAAAAUAAUCUUGUUUUCCCAAACAAACUUUGAACCCCCAUUUCACCCCUUUAGGGACGAAUUUUGAAAACUACUUUCUCUGUACACCUUGCCAAUGUGUAAUUUCUAGGACCAGCGGUGUCGGCUAUGCGUUGAUAUGUCAGUCAGUCAGUUUCUUCUUUUAUAUAUUUAGAUUGAGCUGAAUCACCAAAAUUCCCGUUAAGUUUGUACAUUUGGA